Camponotus floridanus (Florida carpenter ant) is the source of this 1124-nucleotide long non-coding RNA. RefSeq lists it as uncharacterized. Lineage: Eukaryota; Metazoa; Arthropoda; Insecta; Hymenoptera; Formicidae. The transcript has 3 exons. The record is from RefSeq and is a predicted model, not a curated record.
UAUACAUAAAGAUAAGCGUAAAGUGUACUCGUAAUAAAUGAUCUAAACAAGGUAACGCAACAAAAGAAAUAGCGAACUUAACGAAUUGUUCUCUUUCUCUUAAAAGUAGAAGGAGCAAAUUUCUAAGCAAACACUUACUGCAUAACCUACACGCAUUAGAAAAGGAUAGCUAGAACCUUCGUUAAGUAACUCUUUUCGCUCGCGGUGAAAAUUGGAUAAGAAUAAUUUUCACUUCCUAUAUAUUUCUGACGGUGGCCUUUCAAACAAUUUCUAGUGCACGACUGUAACUUUGCGCCAAAAAAAACUUGGGAGUACCCAAGGUUCGUUGACAUUUCUUGUUGAAGUUAGGCAACGAUCCACAUAUCAGGCAUCGGCAUGAAGUUGUCGCACGAUUCAAAUUUUUCACAGGAAACGUACAUCGUACAUACGUCAUCAAGUAUCCCGAAAUGGACACCGUGCAACGCGAACGAUCGCCGUGUUUCGCGUAAAUUAUUCGUUCGACGUGUAUCACGAGUGUCACGUGAAGUGUCAAACGAUUACCCGUAUUGUGUUAGUUCAAUCCGCGAGUGAAUAAACAUGGAAAGAGAGGAGCAGAGACUCCGACCGGGUGACAUUUCACCGGCUCGGGACAAUUCAAGUCCACUUUUCGCGCAAUCGUGUAUGUGAUGUAUUAUGAUUGUAUUGUGGUGUAUUGUGAUCAAAACGCGAGUGUUCGAAGCAACGACGAGGUAAUCCAACGCUGUCGACGUUCCUUGGAAAAGAAUAGCGAGAUGCGUCAAGUACUUUCGUUUCUUCCACUUGAGAUGCAGAUAAAUAGGAGCCAUCUGUCAUCUAUCAUCUCCAUUCGCCGCCAUUUACCGUGGGAAAUUGAAAAAGAGUUUCAACCAUAACGCGCGUCGCAGUUUAAGGCCGAGCGCGGCGCCGCUACAAAUCCUUCGAGCUGAAUUUACGAUUUUAAUUCGGGAUAGUCACCGAGAUGAGUUCAAGCGGAUCCGUACCAUGUAUCCUGACCAUAUUGCUUUUCAUUAUGGCCCGCGGUGUGCCUUCGGACCACCGACGUCGCUGCAAUUAAAACAACGGCCGCGCUUGAAUAACAUCUCUCGAAGGAUAUUAUAUCGCAUGCG